GCGAAAGUGGCGGAAUUGGUAGACGCACGGGAUUUAGGUUCCAGCGCCGAAAGGUGUGGGGGUUCGAGUCCCCCCUUUCGCACCA
This 85-nucleotide transfer RNA is filed under the name Burkholderiales bacterium. RNAcentral describes it as "tRNA-Leu". It matches the Rfam family "tRNA". From Rfam's summary of the family: Transfer RNA (tRNA) molecules are approximately 80 nucleotides in length. Their secondary structure includes four short double-helical elements and three loops (D, anti-codon, and T loops). The record is from RNAcentral. Lineage: Bacteria; Pseudomonadati; Pseudomonadota; Betaproteobacteria; Burkholderiales.